This 279-nucleotide ribosomal RNA is filed under the name uncultured bacterium. RNAcentral's name for it is "partial 16S ribosomal RNA". It matches the Rfam family "Bacterial small subunit ribosomal RNA", at positions 506 to 784 of the family's 1533-position model. The record is from RNAcentral.
UGCCAGCCGCCGCGGUAAUACGUAAGUGGCAAGCGUUGUCCGGAAUCACUGGGUGUAAAGCGCGUGUAGGCGGCCUGGUAAGUCUGAGGUGAAAUCCAUGGGCCUAACCCGUGAACUGCCUUGGAAACUGCCAAGCUUGAGGAGCAGAGGGGAAAGUGGAAUUUCGGGUGUAGCGGUGAAAUGCUUAGAUAUCCGAGAGAACACCGAUGGCGAAGGCAGCUUUCUGGCUGUUUCCUGACGCUGAGACGCGAAAGCUAGGGUAGCAAACGGGAUUAGAUA